UUAUCUGGUGAGGGCACUGUGAGGC
Molecule: microRNA, 25 nt
Filed under: Canis lupus familiaris (dog)
Lineage: Eukaryota; Metazoa; Chordata; Mammalia; Carnivora; Canidae
Description: cfa-miR-8895
Source: miRBase by way of RNAcentral